AUUGAACGCUGGCGGAAUGCUUUACACAUGCAAGUCGAACGGCAGCACGGGUGCUUGCACCUGGUGGCGAGUGGCGAACGGGUGAGUAAUGCACCGGAACGUAUCCAAUAAUGGGGGAUAACGCACCGAAAGGUGUGCUAAUACCGCAUACGCCCUGAGGGGGAAAGCGGGGGGAUCGUAAGACCUCGCGUUAAUGGAGCGGCCGAUGCCGGAUUAGCUAGUUGGUGAGGUAAAGGCUCACCAAGGCGACGAUCCGUAGCUGGUCUGAGAGGACGACCAGCCACACUGGAACUGAGACACGGUCCAGACUCCUACGGGAGGCAGCAGUGGGGAAUUUUGGACAAUGGGCGCAACCCUGAUCCAGCCAU
This 368-nucleotide ribosomal RNA is filed under the name uncultured bacterium. Its description in RNAcentral is "bacterial SSU rRNA". It matches the Rfam family "Bacterial small subunit ribosomal RNA", at positions 30 to 395 of the family's 1533-position model. The record is from RNAcentral.